Lates calcarifer (barramundi perch) is the source of this 308-nucleotide long non-coding RNA. RefSeq lists it as uncharacterized. Lineage: Eukaryota; Metazoa; Chordata; Actinopteri; Centropomidae. The record is from RefSeq and is a predicted model, not a curated record. The transcript has 4 exons.
GUGCUAACCACUGCUCCACUGUGCCACCCACGUACAUCCACCCCCGACAGACAGGAAGUACCAACCACCAGCCGUGCUGUUCUGGAUCAGGUCAACCUGAGUCGCAAUUCUGUUCGUCUCAGAAAGAAGUCCAAAGAGAUGGUAAAUAUUGAGUUUCACACGACGAGUAGCAAAUACAAGUUUCCAGUGUCGACCAAGGAGGCUGGAAACAUGGUCACUUUCAGAGGUUCAGACGGAUCCAGGUUUCAAGUGGUGGAAAUGACAAUUCUCCAACGAAGGUCACCUGGAAAAAACUUAAAAACCCCGUG